UGGCUAAGGAGAUUGUUAAAGCCAAUGGAUUCUCUGAUGUGAUAACGGUUUUGAAAGGGAAGAUUGAGGAGAUAUAGCUUCCUAUUCCUAAAGUGGAUGUGAUUAUAUCCGAAUGGAUGGGUUACUUUUUGUUGUUUGAGAAUAUGUUGGAUAGUGUCUUAUUCGCUCGCAAUAAAUGGCUUGUAAGUUACACCUCUCCACAUUGUUACAUGUGAUUCAUGUCCUUGUUAUAAGCAUUUAUCUGGAAUUUAAAAAAAAAAAUACUUGCUCCUUUGGUAUCAUUGAUAGGUUGAUGGCGGAGUUGUGCUACCAGACAAAGCCUCUUUGUUUCUUACAGCUAUAGAAGAUUCUGAGUAUAAAGAAGACAAAAUUGAAUUUUGGAACAGUGUGUAUGGUUUUGACAUGUCAUGCAUCAAGAAAAAGGCUAUGAUGGAGCCGCUUGUUGAUACCGUCGACCCAAAACAGAUCGUUACCGAUAGUAAGCUACUUAAG
Molecule: long non-coding RNA, 492 nt
Organism: Brassica napus (rape)
Lineage: Eukaryota; Viridiplantae; Streptophyta; Magnoliopsida; Brassicales; Brassicaceae
Exons: 3
Source: RefSeq, a predicted model, not a curated record